RNAcentral lists this ribosomal RNA (21 nucleotides) under Collybiopsis cylindrica. RNAcentral describes it as "Gymnopus cylindricus partial 18S ribosomal RNA". Lineage: Eukaryota; Fungi; Basidiomycota; Agaricomycetes; Agaricales; Omphalotaceae. The record is from RNAcentral.
AACCUGCGGAGCGCAUCAUUA